CACCAAUGGAGUCAUCUUUGAAAGCAAAAUAGAGGGGCAGAAACAAACUUCUGUUGCUAAGUUCCCUGCAGUCAGCAAGAGCACACCUGUGCAGGGUCUGCAUCAACACAGGCCACAGGAGUUCAGGAAUGCCAAGAAUUGCCUGCUACCACCAGAAGCUAGGACAGAGGCAUGGGAUGGACUCUCUCUCCGAGCCUCCAGAAGGACCUUGAUGACACCUUGGUGGGGACCUGUGGCCUCUUGAACUGUAAGGGAAUAAGACGGUGGUUUUAAGCCAA
Ictidomys tridecemlineatus (thirteen-lined ground squirrel) is the source of this 278-nucleotide long non-coding RNA. RefSeq lists it as uncharacterized. The record is from RefSeq and is a predicted model, not a curated record. Lineage: Eukaryota; Metazoa; Chordata; Mammalia; Rodentia; Sciuridae.